CCAAUAGCGUAUAUUAAAGUUGUUGCAGUUAAAAAGCUCGUAGUUGAAUUUCGGGAUCUAUCCGUCGGUCGGGCCUCACGGUCCGCACUGGUGUGAUGGAUUCCUACCUUCUGAAUAACCGGUAUGCCAUUAAUUUGAUGUGCCGGGGAAGCAGAACCAUUACCUUGAAAAAAUUAGAGUGCUCAAAGCAGGCCUAUGCCUGAAUACAUUAGCAUGGAAUAAUAAAAUAGGACGGCAUGGUUCUAUUUUGUUGGUUUCUAGGAUCACCGUAAUGAUUAAUAGGGAUAGUUGGGGGCAUUAGUAUUCAAUUGUCAGAGGUGAAAUUCUUGGAUUUAUUGAAGACUAACUUCUGCGAAAGCAUUUGCCAAGGAUGUUUUCAUUAAUCAAGAACGAAAGUUAGGGGAUCGAAGACGAUCAGAUACCGUCGUAGUCUUAACCAUAAACUAUGCCGACUAGGGAUCGGACGAUGUUAAUUUUAUAAUGACUCGUUCGGCGCCUUACG
RNAcentral lists this ribosomal RNA (502 nucleotides) under uncultured Glomeromycotina. RNAcentral describes it as "partial small subunit ribosomal RNA". It matches the Rfam family "Eukaryotic small subunit ribosomal RNA", at positions 591 to 1092 of the family's 1831-position model. The record is from RNAcentral. Lineage: Eukaryota; Fungi; Glomeromycota.